GAAAUGUGAUAAGUAAUGUGAAUUGCAGAAUUCAGUGAAUCAUCGAAUCUUUGAACGCACCUUGCGCUCUCUGGUAUUCCGGAGAGCAUGUCUGUUUGAGUGUCAUGAACUCUUCAACCCAUCAGUUUCUUGUAGACUGUGUGGUGUUUGGUUUCUGAGCGUUGCUGGAGUCCCUUUACUGGGAAUCGAGCUCGCUUCAAAUGUAAUAGCAUCUCACGUUGAUCCCAUGGAUUGACUCAGCGUAAUAGACAAUUUCGCUGAGGACACUUCGGUGGCCAUGGACAAAGAGAGAAGCUCAUAAUACCAAUAGUCAUCUAUGAUUAGACCUCAGAUCAGGCAGGAUUACCCGCUGAACUUAA
Molecule: unclassified non-coding RNA, 359 nt
Filed under: uncultured Microbotryomycetes
Lineage: Eukaryota; Fungi; Basidiomycota; Microbotryomycetes
Description: sequence contains ITS1
Rfam family: 5.8S ribosomal RNA (bases 1-105)
Source: RNAcentral